Molecule: ribosomal RNA, 429 nt
Filed under: uncultured prokaryote
Also listed under: 1 other name
Description: bacterial SSU rRNA
Rfam family: Bacterial small subunit ribosomal RNA
Source: RNAcentral
UGAGGAAUAUUGCGCAAUGGGGCAACCCUGACGCAGCAACGCCGCGUGAGUGAGGAAGGUUUUCGGACCGUAAAGCUCUGUCGAGCGGGAAGAAAUGCAUGGUGGCUAAUAUCCAUCAUGCUUGACGGUACCGCUAGAGGAAGCACCGGCUAACUCCGUGCCAGCAGCCGCGGUAAUACGGGGGGUGCAAGCGUUGUUCGGAAUUAUUGGGCGUAAAGAGCGUGUAGGCGGCUGAAUAAGUCAGAUGUGAAAUCCCUGGGCUUAACCCAGGACGUGCAUUUGAAACUAUUCAGCUUGAGUAAGGGAGAGGAAAGUGGAAUUCCUGGUGUAGAGGUGAAAUUCGUAGAUAUCAGGAGGAACACCGGUGGCGAAGGCGACUUUCUGGCCCUAUACUGACGCUGAGACGCGAGAGCGUGGGUAGCAAACAGG